CNUGCAAGUCGACGCCCCUUCGGGGGAGUGGCGGACGGGUGAGUAACGCGUGGGAACGUGCCCUUUGGUACGGAACAACUGAGGGAAACUUCAGCUAAUACCGUAUGUGCCCUUCGGGGGAAAGAUUUAUCGCCAUUGGAGCGGCCCGCGUUGGAUUAGCUAGUUGGUGGGGUAAAGGCCCACCAAGGCGACGAUCCAUAGCUGGUCUGAGAGGAUGACCAGCCACACUGGGACUGAGACACGGCCCAGACUCCUACGGGAGGCAGCAGUAGGGAAUCUUGGGCAAUGGGCGAAAGCCUGACCCAGCCAUGCCGCGUGAAUGAUGAAGGUCUUAGGAUUGUAAAAUUCUUUCACCGGGGACGAUAAUGACGGUACCCGGAGAAGAAGCCCCGGCUAACUUCGUGCCAGCAGCCGCGGUAAUACGAAGGGGGCUAGCGUUGCUCGGAAUUACUGGGCGUAAAGGGCGCGUAGGCGGAUCGUUAAGUCAGAGGUGAAAGCCCAGGGCUCAACCUUGGAACUGCCUUUGAUACUGGCGAUCUGGAGUACGGGAGAGGUGUGUGGAACUCCGAGUGUAGAGGUGAAAUUCGUAGAUAUUCGGAAGAACACCAGUGGCGAAGGCGACACACUGGCCCGUUACUGACGCUGAGGCGCGAAAGCGUGGGGAGCAAACAGGAUUAGAUACCCUGNUAGUCCACGCCGUAAACGAUGAGUGCUAGUUGUCGGCAUGCUUGCAUGUCGGUGAUGCAGCUAACGCAUUAAGCACUCCGCCUGGGGAGUACGGUCGCAAGAUUAAAACUCAAAGGAAUUGANGGGGGCCCGCACAAGCNGGUGGAGCAUGUGGUUUNAUUUCGAAGCAACGC
RNAcentral lists this ribosomal RNA (860 nucleotides) under uncultured bacterium. Its description in RNAcentral is "bacterial SSU rRNA". It matches the Rfam family "Bacterial small subunit ribosomal RNA", at positions 54 to 962 of the family's 1533-position model. The record is from RNAcentral.